UUCACCUCGCUCUUCUCGCUUAUCCUCUCUCCUUGUCCCUCCUCAGUGUUGAUCUCCAUUGCUGAUCUCAGUCCAGAUCCAUGGCAGUCGGCCGAGGGAUUAAUGGGUCCAUCCCUUCAGGCUUGAAGGUGAUGGUUGUUGAUGAAGAUCCCACCUGCCUCCUCUUCAUCACCUUCAUGCUCAAAGCUUGCCUCUUCACUGUUGAAUCCUUCAGUGAUGCAGUGAAAGCUUUGUGUGCUGUCUGUAUGAAAAGGGGACAGUUUGAUCUCGUCAUGGUCGAUUAUCACAUGUUAAGAAUGCCUGCCUUUGAACUUGUUGAGAGCAUUGUCACAGGAUUUGGCAUUCCAGUCAUUACAACAUCAGCUGAUAGUGAUCCAGAAAUUCAGCUAGAAGCUUUUAAGCGUGGGUCUUGCUUACACCUUGUCAAGCCUAUAACUCUUGAUGAUAUGGGUGUUGUGUGGCAGAAAGCCUGGGGGAUUGAAGCAAACAUCUAAAUAGAACUUCAAAGAGAUCCUGUUCCAUAUAUUUUUUAUGAUUGGCUUGCUCUAGAAGAUAUAGUGCCUGGUGUAGCAGAAAGUGCUAAUGCUGAAAAUACUACUGAACUAAGUUUGAUGGAGUCCUCAUCUGACCUGCUUUCUCAUUUUCAUGGUAUUCCUCUUAUUGAGGAUAUUGAGAAAGAGAUGUGUGAGGCAAGAGAAAGAAAAUAGAACCAAAGAAGUUUGAAAUAUAAACAUAUUAUACUGUUGAAUCCUUCAAUAACGCAGUGAAAGCUUUGUGCACUCAGUAUAUGAAAAGGAAACUAUUUGAUCUCGUUAUGGUUGAUUAUCACAUGUUAAGAAUGCCUGCCUUCAAGUUUGUUGAAUGCAUCGUCACUGUAAG
Asparagus officinalis (garden asparagus) is the source of this 879-nucleotide RNA transcript. It is a transcript of the gene named two-component response regulator ORR25-like, with no coding region annotated. The transcript has 5 exons. Lineage: Eukaryota; Viridiplantae; Streptophyta; Magnoliopsida; Asparagales; Asparagaceae. The record is from RefSeq and is a predicted model, not a curated record.